Non-coding RNA from Hydra vulgaris (swiftwater hydra), 342 nucleotides. The record is from RefSeq and is a predicted model, not a curated record. NCBI's taxonomy places the organism in Eukaryota, Metazoa, Cnidaria, Hydrozoa, Anthoathecata, Hydridae.
AAUCAAAAUUUAAUAUGGCUGACGGUAAGAACAAAGAAAAGUUUAAAGGAACAAACAUUUAGAGCAACAUGUCAAUUAAAGCGACUACUGCAGUUGCCGAAAUAAGAAAAGGAAUAAUGACUUUAUUAAAAUACGCACUCGACAGAUUGAAUGGUGGUGGUGGGCGCGUAAAAGACGGUUCACUAGAUGUAUAACAUUUUUUCCUAAUUGUUCUACAACUAUUGUUAAAUAAAACAUUUUUUUUUUAAACAUUUUACUCUAUUUGGAUUGUGUUUAAAGUCCCUUGAAGCAAUUUAGUUGUAUCUGAUUAAUUUACUUGAAAUAUAAUAUUCUUUGCUCAAA